AACGCUAGCUACAGGCUUAACACAUGCAAGUCGAGGGGCAGCACAGUGUAGCAAUACACGGGUGGCGACCGGCGCACGGGUGCGUAACGCGUAUCCAACCUUCCCGAUACUCUUGGAUAGCCUUCCGAAAGGGAGAUUAAUACAAGAUGGUGUUUCACUUUCGCAUGUUAUUGAAACUAAAGAUUUAUCGGUAUCGGAUGGGGAUGCGUGACAUUAGAUAGUAGGCGGGGUAACGGCCCACCUAGUCUACGAUGUCUAGGGGUUCUGAGAGGAAGGUCCCCCACACUGGAACUGAGACACGGUCCAGACUCCUACGGGAGGCAGCAGUGAGGAAUAUUGGUCAAUGGUCGGAAGACUGAACCAGCCAAGUAGCGUGAAGGAUGAAGGUUCUAUGGAUUGUAAACUUCUUUUAUACGGGAAUAAAACCUCCCACGUGUGGGAGCUUGUAUGUACCGUAUGAAUAAGCAUCGGCUAACUCCGUGCCAGCAGCCGCGGUAAUACGGAGGAUCCGAGCGUUAUCCGGAUUUAUUGGGUUUAAAGGGUGCGUAGGCGGAAUGAUCAGUCAGUUGUGAAAGUUUGAGGCUCAACCUUAAAAUUGCAUUUGAUACUGUCAUUCUUGAGUGUACAAGAGGUGGGCGGAAUUCGUGGUGUAGCGGUGAAAUGCUUAGAUAUCACGAAGAACUCCGAUUG
RNAcentral lists this ribosomal RNA (690 nucleotides) under uncultured bacterium. RNAcentral describes it as "bacterial SSU rRNA". It matches the Rfam family "Bacterial small subunit ribosomal RNA", at positions 32 to 715 of the family's 1533-position model. The record is from RNAcentral.